GCUCAGGACGAACGCUGGCGGCGUGCCUAACACAUGCAAGUCGAACGAGAAUCUUUGAACAGAUCUUUUCGGAGUGACGUUCAAAGAGGAAAGUGGCGGACGGGCGAGUAACGCGUGAGUAACCUGCCCAUAAGAGGGGGAUAAUCCAUGGAAACGUGGACUA
RNAcentral lists this ribosomal RNA (163 nucleotides) under uncultured bacterium. Its description in RNAcentral is "partial 16S ribosomal RNA". It matches the Rfam family "Bacterial small subunit ribosomal RNA", at positions 22 to 165 of the family's 1533-position model. The record is from RNAcentral.